RNAcentral lists this transfer RNA (72 nucleotides) under Ictidomys tridecemlineatus (thirteen-lined ground squirrel). RNAcentral's name for it is "Spermophilus tridecemlineatus (thirteen-lined ground squirrel) tRNA". It matches the Rfam family "tRNA". From Rfam's summary of the family: Transfer RNA (tRNA) molecules are approximately 80 nucleotides in length. The record is from Rfam by way of RNAcentral. RNAcentral also lists the same sequence under 1 other name. Lineage: Eukaryota; Metazoa; Chordata; Mammalia; Rodentia; Sciuridae.
GGGGAUAUAGCUCAAUGGUAGAGUGCUUGCCUAGCAUGCAUGAGGCCCUGGGUUCAAUCCUCAAUACCACUU